UCUCUGUCUAUCAUCGCUGCGGAUUCUAUUUACCGUCCAAGACCACCACCUUUAUGGGUAAAGAAUUUAAAAUACACAUAAUAUAUAGGAUAAUUUUUUCUUAAAUACAUUUUGCAAAACCCUAUUCAUGAAUAUUAAAUCUUUAUUUUGAUUAAUAAGAUAUUACAUUGACAGCGUUACUCACACUCUCUUAAAAAAAAUGUACGGCUCGGAUGUAACACAGCGCAAACGAGUCCAGAUUUUAAAGUUUUAAUGAUUGUGAAUAUUUCUUUUUGACCACUACACUGCCUAUAUAAUGUUAGAGAAAGUUACAAACUUUGUAGUAGUUAUCUGACAGCUUUUAAGCUCGAAAUUCGGAUUUGCACGAUGUGGAUGCCGAAACUACGAUGAGAUACUAGCCAGAAGACCACAAUUCUUUUUACAAGCUUUUUACAAAAGCUCGACGUUCGUGUUAUCUUGGCUUCAAAUUGCCCCCGAUCCUGACAUCACGUCAUUUUUAUCAAUAGCGUCACCCGUGGAUAACUCGAGCGUAAGUUAAGCUGGGCAGUUCAGCUCAUCCAGCCUAAUCGAUUAAUCGAUGGCUUGAUGACGCUUUUGAUCAUCGAAGUGCAUGAGAACUUAAUUGUCGUCGCUUCGACGCGGUUGUUGUAAUAGCCACUGCUAUCGAAAAUUGCUGUCUAUGUAGGCAGUAAUGUCUUAGUCUGACUUGUCUCUGCAGUCGUCAUCUGUGACGUAGUUCCUUUAGCAUACGAUUGGCCGUUUCGAAGCGACCAUGCGACCUUCGCGACGAGCGCGCCGCUAGCUACCUGUAGCUAUAAUAAAUAAAAUCUACACCAUCGCGCAUGGAUCAAUACCUACUGUUUCAUUGUUACCUCGAUCUUUUAUUGUGGUUUGUAAUGGAACGUUCUAUGCGUUUGCUGAUCCGUCCACGAUACGGCCCCGAAUACGGACUCAACAGCACGGUGACCCACAGACCCAUGUACAUAAAUCUCUCUGCCGUGCGAUCUUCACCACGGCAAAUCAUCGUCCUUUAAUAAUGAAUUUUUCAAGGACCUUAUGAGGACUGGCAGUAACGUACACCAUCGAUUUCGGGCAAAAAAGGCGUUUUCAACCCCUUGGGAAUUCGUCUAGCGCUGAGAGGUUGGAGUAUGACAUACCUUUGCCCAGGUUUAUAAAACGAUGCACUAUAUUCCGCGCCUGUUACGACAAACAACUCGCCGAACUUUGUUCACAUUUGAAUGCCCCACUCUGUAUUAGAAGGAAUAAACGAGCUAAAAAAAAAGUUAAGGAAUAAACGCGUCCAGACGUUGCCUGGUUUUCUAGUUUAACGACUAGCAAUGACUGCAUAGCAAACGAAUUCGACCUUCUCUUAUUUGUCCAUUUUACAAGCUCAUGCUUCUUAAAAUCAUCUACCGUCGAAUUACCGUAAAUUAGAAACAAGAAGUGUUGCUAGUAUUUACAUAAUAGCUAACUUAAUUCAACAGACUCGACUGUCACGUUACACGAUGAAUCCAGGCGUAGGAUUCAAAGCAUAUAAAUUUUAUGAGAUUGUUUGAAAUGAGUUCCACAGAUAUCAAAGUUUUAUAUGGCCAAAAUUUGUCCAGCUUAAUAGAUCAAGCUAAACAAAAAAUACUCACCGAAAUCUCUUACUGUAAGGUAUAGUGCUGUUAAAGCGGUUAUAUACUAAAGAGCGAACAUUAACAUCGAAGAGUACACUAAAAUUACAAAUUUUACAGCGGAACAUAUUUCCUGAGAAAAUUGACCUUCUAAUAUUAGAUUGAGCAAAAAUGACUGGCUAUUAUUCUACUAAGAUAACUUUAUCAUCACACAACUCACAUAUCAUAGGUGGUAUGAGCCGCGUUAAGUCAGCAUUAAUGUCGUCUGAAAUUGGCUGUAGAUUGGCAGUAAUAAAGUGAUGAAACUCUUGGAACUCUUUUAUCCUGGCUAAAUAUGGAGCAUCUGUAAAGAUUCGCUAUAUUUUUCAACUUUAUUACGAUAUAGACAUGAAUUCUGCUUAAGUUUAUAAAUAAAGUUUUGGUAUUUUUACAAAAGGCUCAAA
RNAcentral lists this long non-coding RNA (2059 nucleotides) under Varroa destructor (honeybee mite). RNAcentral describes it as "uncharacterized LOC111251606". Lineage: Eukaryota; Metazoa; Arthropoda; Arachnida; Mesostigmata; Varroidae. The record is from RNAcentral.